RNAcentral lists this ribosomal RNA (1343 nucleotides) under uncultured bacterium. RNAcentral describes it as "16S ribosomal RNA". It matches the Rfam family "Bacterial small subunit ribosomal RNA", at positions 8 to 1362 of the family's 1533-position model. The record is from RNAcentral.
AGAGUUUGAUCCUGGCUCAGGAUGAACGCUGGCGGCGUGCUUAACACAUGCAAGUCGAACGGACCGAAGAGAAAGCUUGCUUUUUCUGAGGUUAGUGGCGGACGGGUGAGUAACGCGUGGGUAACCUGCCCAUUACUGGGGGACAACAGUUAGAAAUGACUGCUAAUACCGCAUAAGCGCACAGGACCGCAUGGUCUAGUGUGAAAAACUCCGGUGGUAAUGGAUGGACCCGCGUCUGAUUAGCUAGUUGGUGAGGUAACGGCCCACCAAGGCGACGAUCAGUAGCCGGCCUGAGAGGGUGAACGGCCACAUUGGGACUGAGACACGGCCCAAACUCCUACGGGAGGCAGCAGUGGGGAAUAUUGGACAAUGGGGGAAACCCUGAUCCAGCGACGCCGCGUGAGUGAAGAAGUAUUUCGGUAUGUAAAGCUCUAUCAGCAAGGAAGAAAAUGACGGUACUUGACUAAGAAGCUCCGGCUAAAUACGUGCCAGCAGCCGCGGUAAUACGUAUGGAGCAAGCGUUAUCCGGAUUUACUGGGUGUAAAGGGAGCGUAGACGGCAAAGCAAGUCUGAAGUGAAAUCCCGGGGCUCAACCCCGGAACUGCUUUGGAAACUGUUUAGCUAGAGUGCAGGAGAGGUAAGCGGAAUUCCUAGUGUAGCGGUGAAAUGCGUAGAUAUUAGGAGGAACACCAGUGGCGAAGGCGGCUUACUGGACUGUAACUGACGUUGAGGCUCGAAAGCGUGGGGAGCAAACAGGAUUAGAUACCCUGGUAGUCCACGCUGUAACCGAUGAUUUCUAGGUGUUGGGGACUAGGAUGUCUUCGGUGCGGCAGCAAACGCAAUAAGUAAUCCCCCUGGGGAGGGCGUUCGCAUGAAUGAAACUCACAGGAAUGGGCCGGGACCCGCGCAAGCGGCGGUGCAUGUGCUUUAAUUUGAAGCAACGCGACGAGCCUUAUCACAUCUUUACAUCCCAAUGACAAACUAUGUAAUGUAGUGUUUUUUUGGAACUUUGGUGACAGGUGGGGCAUGGUGGUCGUCAGCUGGGGUCGUGAGAGGGUGGGUGAAGUCCCGCAACGAGCGCCCCCCUCGUGUUUAGUAGCCAGCAGUUCGGCUGGGCACUCUAGAGAGACUUCCAGGGAUGACAUGGAGGAAGGUGGGGAAGACGUCAAAUCAUCAUGCCCUCUAUGAUUUGGCCCCCCCACGUGCUCCAAUGGCGUAUACAAAGAGAAGGGAAACCGGGAGGUCGAGCAAAUCUCAAAAAUAACCUCUCAGCUCGGAUGGUCGUGUGCAACUCGACUACAUGAAGCGGGGAUCGCUAGUAAUCGCGAAUCAGAACGUGGCGG